This 207-nucleotide ribosomal RNA is filed under the name uncultured bacterium. RNAcentral describes it as "partial 16S ribosomal RNA". It matches the Rfam family "Bacterial small subunit ribosomal RNA", at positions 568 to 774 of the family's 1533-position model. The record is from RNAcentral.
CACGUAGGCGGACCAUUAAGUUAGAGGUGAAAUCCCAGGGCUCAACCCUGGAACUGCCUUUAAUACUGGUGGUCUUGAGUUCGAGAGAGGUGAGUGGAAUUCCGAGUGUAGAGGUGAAAUUCGUAGAUAUUCGGAGGAACACCAGUGGCGAAGGCGGCUCACUGGCUCGAUACUGACGCUGAGGUGCGAAAGCGUGGGGAGCAAACA